This 1174-nucleotide long non-coding RNA is filed under the name Athene cunicularia (burrowing owl). RNAcentral's name for it is "lncRNA (ENSACUG00000014972.1)". The record is from RNAcentral. Lineage: Eukaryota; Metazoa; Chordata; Aves; Strigiformes; Strigidae.
AGACUAAUACACAGUGUGGUAAGAUCAAUCAGGAAAUGAAUACAAAUGUUAACUCAUCUUUUUUUUUUUUUUUUUUUUUUUUUUGAUGGCUUUUUUGAAUCAAAGGAAAGCAACACUGUUUUCUCCUUUCUUGGACUGAAACCUACUUUGGCAUCAAAGGAGUCAGAACCCUAGAAAGCCUAUCUGAAGUAUCGACAAGCACAUCUCCUGGAUGAACGACCCUGUUCUUCAGCACACAACAGCUUCCAUAAUGGAUCACUGUGAUAGAGCAAACAUGCAUCAUUAGUAGUAGUCUGCUUGCCAUGAGGCGGUGGUCUCCAAUAAUGUGGACUUAAUAACACAUAUAUGAAACAGGAUUAAGGCCGGGCUACUCAUCUUCCUUUUUAAAAAUACUCAUUGCUGGUGAUUUACUUUUGUCUUUGGAUGUUUUUUGCAACUGGCUCUGGUAUUCUAACAAACACAUAUGUUUGAGAAUAAGGAGUGAAAGUGAAGGGCUUCUGUCAUGCAUGGAUAUACUUACAUAGUCAGAUUCCUUACCUUUUUUAAUUCUUGCAGCUACUGUUAGUUGAAAUUAGCUCACCAUGAUAGUUAAAGUGCUGGUGGUUACUAGAAUGUUUAUGCUGGCUAUGAUCCAGAAGGUAAAAACCAUCAAUCUUAAAAUCUCAGUCUAAGCCAAUAACUGCCAUUUUUUUGAUGUACAUUUGUUUUUUUGUGCUGUUUUGCUUGAUCAUGUUUAUUGUAAGAGCCAUGGGCUGAUAACCUUGUUCAUGAAAACUUGAUUUGUCUAAUGAUGCACACUGCAAUUGACUGUUUAAAAACAGUUGUUACCAUGGAGGAGGUGCCAAAGUGAAAUAACAGAAUCACAGAAUCGUCACAGAAUACAGAAUCACAGAAUAAUGUUUUGACAUGGUUCCUGUUCCAAAUGCAGGUGAAAUGUGCAGGAAAACACUUGGUGGAAAAUAACUGAGUAGUUCAGAAGAAGAGGUUUCAUAGCUAAUGAUAAUACUAAGUUAUCUCUUAACCAAGAAAGGUUUAACACCCAAAGUCAGAACUCUGUAGUUGGACUGUCUUAAAAUGAAAUUUUGCCAAAACCUUGAGGUUUACCUUCCAUAACACACAGCUCCACCAUUAGCCACAUGAGAGACAGGGGAUACUUUGAGAGGCAGGGAUCAGU